This 72-nucleotide transfer RNA is filed under the name Sphaerodactylus townsendi. RNAcentral describes it as "tRNA-Thr". The stretch from base 1 to 62 matches the Rfam family "tRNA". From Rfam's summary of the family: Transfer RNA (tRNA) molecules are approximately 80 nucleotides in length. Their secondary structure includes four short double-helical elements and three loops (D, anti-codon, and T loops). Lineage: Eukaryota; Metazoa; Chordata; Lepidosauria; Squamata; Sphaerodactylidae. The record is from RNAcentral.
GGGACUGUGGCUCAGUGGUAGAGAAUUUGCUUGGUAUGCAGAAGGUCCCGGGUUCAAUCCCAAGAGACUCCA